Molecule: unclassified non-coding RNA, 299 nt
Organism: Callithrix jacchus (white-tufted-ear marmoset)
Lineage: Eukaryota; Metazoa; Chordata; Mammalia; Primates; Cebidae
Rfam family: Metazoan signal recognition particle RNA
About the family: The signal recognition particle (SRP) is a universally conserved ribonucleoprotein.
Source: Ensembl
GCUAAUUGAGGUGGCGUGUGCCUGUAGUCCCAGCUACUCAGGAGGCCGAGGUGGGAGGACCGCUUGGGCCGAGGAGUUCUGGGCUGUAGUGCGAAAUGCCAUUCGGGUGUCUGCACUGAGUUCGGCAUCAAUAUGGUGACCUCCCAGGAGCAGGGGACCACCAGGCUGCCUAAGGAGGAGUGAAACGGCCCAGGUGGGAAAUGGAGCAGCUCAAAACUCCCGUGCUGCUCAGCAGUGGGAUUGCGCUUGUGAAGAGCCACUGCACCCCAGCCUGGGCAGCACAGCAAGACCUUGUCUAU